UACGUAGGCAGCAAGCGUUGUUCGGAGUUACAGGGCGUAAAGAGUGCGUAGGCGGUUUCGUAAGUUUGGUGUGAAAUCUCCCGGCUUAACUGGGAGGGUGCGCCGAAAACUGCGGGGCUGGAGUAUGGGAGAGGUAAGCGGAAUUCCUGGUGUAGCGGUGAAAUGCGUAGAUAUCGGGAGGAACACCAGUGGCGAAGGCGGCUUCCUGGCCUGUUCUUGACGCUGAGGCGCGAAAGCUAGGGGAGCAAACGGG
Molecule: ribosomal RNA, 253 nt
Filed under: uncultured bacterium
Lineage: Bacteria
Description: partial 16S ribosomal RNA
Rfam family: Bacterial small subunit ribosomal RNA
Source: RNAcentral